CAAGUGCUCCCGCUGAUGAGGGAGUAACCGUCUGUGCUGGCUUUGACCCUGGUUGUGAAACUAAGCCACUUAGGAAAUCAUUGUUAUUUUGUACAGCGGGUGAAUCUGUGAUUUGGUGAGCACCCUGUGAAGAAACUGGAACAAGAGAACCCUGCCGUGAUAGGUUCCCAGAGUUAAACUGUGCAGGUUGGCUGUAGGGAUUAGCACCUGGCUGUGGCGGUUGGCUAUAAGGAUUAACACUCGGCUGCACAGAUUGGCUAUAUGCAUUAGAACUAGGUUGUCCAACUUGGUCAUAUGCGUUAGCACCAGGCAGUGCAGGUUGGCCGUACGGAUUAGCACUUGGCUGUGUCGGUUGGCUGAACAUAUUAGCACUUGAUUGUGCCUGUUGACCAUAGAUACCUGGCUGUGUUGUUUGGCUAUAAGCACUUCCCUGAUUUUGAGUUGACAUUUCUUGAGGAAGAAACUGGGAGUUUGUGCUAUUGGGUGCAGAGUAAGCAUUUGCGGAGAAUGAGUUCCCAAAGUCAAAAUUUGUGACUGUCUCGGAACUUGCAGAAGGUGGCUGAGCUACUUCAUUUUGGUUUGUAGCAGGCUGGAAAGUAGGCAUGGAAGUGGAAAUUUGUUGUACAGCUGGGGCAGAGUCAGUUGAAGCGACAGCUUUAAAAGGAUUAUCACCAAAUGGAUCAUCAAAACCCUGAAUCAGGAAUAUCCCCUAAAAAUUUUAGUAUGGCAACAAAUUCACCCUAAUAACUUUAUGCUACCCUUACUAUUGUACACAGGAUUUCAAUAAUUCAUUCAUUUUUAACUAUCAAUUUUUUUAGGUGCUUUUCAAAUAUACAACUUUAAAAGAAAAAAUGAAACACAUUAGGCAACAACAGAACAGCUUAUCCAAAUUCGUUGUACCAUAAAUAGACAUAUUGUAGACAGGGUUAAUGAAAUCCUUGUAUUGAUCCCUCAAUAUUAAAUGGACCAUGUUACCUGAUUUCCAAAAUUAGAUGCCGACUGAUUAGCAGCAAAGGUGGGCAUAGCACCAGAGUUUGCAGGGGCAUCAGCCUCAGUAGCAGGGAUUUCAGGUGUAACUGGCACAAUGGCAAAAGAAUCUGACAGAGCAUCCAACAAGUCUAUUUCAGCAUUGGUCGAAGCAGUGGGAACAGCAGUAGCAGGGACAGCUGUGGCAGUGGGAACAGCAG
RNAcentral lists this long non-coding RNA (1187 nucleotides) under Gossypium barbadense (sea-island cotton). RNAcentral describes it as "long non-coding RNA (GBAR_LNC001062)". Lineage: Eukaryota; Viridiplantae; Streptophyta; Magnoliopsida; Malvales; Malvaceae. The record is from RNAcentral.